CGAGUGUUCUUGAGGAAAACCUGCCGCCGUAAAGGAGACGCUGAGGGAGCCACAGGUGAGACCUUGUUGGGACGGAGCUCAGCGAACCAGAGACUGUCGUCUUCACGAGAAGGACGUCUGUAUUCAUGUCGCGUAAUGAAGCUUCUUCUUUGUGUCACGCUGACUCUGAGUUGAGAUGAAUGUGCAGCUCCUCACGCUCUGACGAGGACUUUGAUUACCUGCCGCUGAUUACAACCUUCUCAGGGCACUCAUGACGUCACCAGACGAGCGCGCCCUGGAGGAGCUGCUGUGCGGCAGUGACCUUGGUGACGAG
Molecule: long non-coding RNA, 313 nt
Organism: Gasterosteus aculeatus aculeatus (three-spined stickleback)
Lineage: Eukaryota; Metazoa; Chordata; Actinopteri; Perciformes; Gasterosteidae
Source: Ensembl